Coffea arabica (coffee) is the source of this 639-nucleotide non-coding RNA. The record is from RefSeq and is a predicted model, not a curated record. NCBI's taxonomy places the organism in Eukaryota, Viridiplantae, Streptophyta, Magnoliopsida, Gentianales, Rubiaceae.
UCAAUAUGGCAUUUCACAUUCAGUCUCCUCUCUACCAACAACCAAAGUCCGACCUGUACACUUUGUCUGAUGAUGGCUAUGUGGUCUGCAACGAGGCUAGGAAAAAUCCAACUAACCCAACUAUGAAUUGGGACCUGAAUUUAAGAAGGUAGGCAACUUCUUAAGUCGUAUCAAGUCUAUUCCCAGUAUUGUUGAACUAGACAGCCUAAAGAUGAGUGGUGAUGGUGGUUUGGAUCUGGUAUCACCCUGAAGGACUGGUUCCAAAACUGAGCUUGCUCCAGUUUCAGUUUCAACAGGUUCUCGCACUGAUGCAAUACCAUAUUCUGGGAAAUAUGAUAGGGUAGUUGGCAUGUUGGGUACAAUAGAAGCCAUCAACGUUCUAAAGCGUAGGAACAAGUUUUUGGAUACAAAUCUGGAGAAAGUUUGUGGAGCUUCCCACACAUUCAUUUGGCAACCAAGAUACACGUGAUGCUUCGUCUGCAGCAAUCCACCAUGAGAACAAAGCUGUCAUGUACCACUGCAAAUAUCCGCUUUUAAGGUUUAUUGAUGACUUCAUUUUCAUGUCAACGUCAAAGAAACGGGCCUCUUUGUUCUUCUCCCGGUUGCAAGGAGGAUUUCAUGGAUACAACUGCUAUACGA